RNAcentral lists this ribosomal RNA (320 nucleotides) under uncultured Prevotella sp. RNAcentral's name for it is "bacterial SSU rRNA". It matches the Rfam family "Bacterial small subunit ribosomal RNA", at positions 28 to 339 of the family's 1533-position model. Lineage: Bacteria; Pseudomonadati; Bacteroidota; Bacteroidia; Bacteroidales; Prevotellaceae. The record is from RNAcentral.
GAUGAACGCUAGCUACAGGCUUAACACAUGCAAGUCGAGGGGCAUCGAGGAGUUAGCUUGCUAAUUCUGUCGGCGACCGGCGCACGGGUGAGUAACGCGUAUCCAACCUUCCCCUGAGUAGAGGAUAGCCCGGCGAAAGUCGGAUUAAUACUCUAUGUUGUCAGACGAAGACAUCUGAAUCUGACCAAAGAUUAAUCGCUCAGGGAUGGGGAUGCGUCUGAUUAGGUUGUUGGCGGGGUAACGGCCCACCAAGCCAUCGAUCAGUAGGGGUUCUGAGAGGAAGGUCCCCCACAUUGGUACUGAGACACGGACCAAACUCC